Long non-coding RNA from Mauremys mutica (yellowpond turtle), 543 nucleotides. RefSeq lists it as uncharacterized. The record is from RefSeq and is a predicted model, not a curated record. NCBI's taxonomy places the organism in Eukaryota, Metazoa, Chordata, Testudines, Geoemydidae. The transcript is spliced from 5 exons.
AAUAGCUGCCUGGACCCUGUCAGAUUUAGCAUUCAGUUCAAGAACAAGCAGUGAGAAGUUUACCAUUUUGCUUUUGAGGGCCUGAGGAAGUUGAUGGAUCUUCUAUGUUGGCAGCGAGGCAUCCAGUCUUGAUUUGAAGACAUUAAGCAAUGGAUUGUCCACCACUUCCUGUGGUAGUUUGUUCCAGUGGAUCAUCACCCUCACUGUUAAAAAGGUCAGCUGCUGAUUUUCUAUAUGAUCUUGGUUACUGAGGUUAUAUAAACAUGCAAGAUUGUGAAUGGAGUCACAGACAGGGAAUGAAUCAGCCUGAACAGCUCUUGGGAGGCACAUCUGGCAGAGAGACUGCUGCUGCUGACAUGAACGCUCAAGUCUGAUCCCACUGCUCCCAGGAUGAAACAGGUGAAACUGAUGUGAAAGAGCAGAAGACAGCUUGAAGCACAAGGAGAAAUUGUCUUUUUCUAUGAAAUAUUUCUGUGAACUGAGGGAAAAGGGGGGCUUGGAUAAGAUUUUUUUUUUACAGGAGGGACCGGUGAGCUGACUUUU